RNAcentral lists this ribosomal RNA (293 nucleotides) under uncultured microorganism. RNAcentral's name for it is "partial 16S ribosomal RNA". It matches the Rfam family "Bacterial small subunit ribosomal RNA", at positions 505 to 796 of the family's 1533-position model. The record is from RNAcentral.
GUGCCAGCAGCCGCGGUAAUACGUAGGGUGCGAGCGUUAAUCGGAAUUACUGGGCGUAAAGCGUGCGCAGGCGGCUUUGCAAGACAGAGGUGAAAUCCCCGGGCUCAACCUGGGAACUGCCUUUGUGACUGCAAGGCUAGAGUACGGCAGAGGGGGAUGGAAUUCCGCGUGUAGCANUGAAAUGCGUAGAUAUGCGGAGGAACACCGAUGGNGAAGGCAAUCCCCUGGGCCCUGUACUGACGCUCAUGCACGAAAGCGUGGGGAGCAAACAGGAUUAGAUACCCUGGUAGUCC